RNAcentral lists this ribosomal RNA (444 nucleotides) under Amphistegina lobifera. RNAcentral describes it as "SSU rRNA". It matches the Rfam family "Eukaryotic small subunit ribosomal RNA", at positions 1176 to 1607 of the family's 1831-position model. The record is from RNAcentral. Lineage: Eukaryota; Foraminifera; Rotaliida; Amphisteginidae.
GUGGAGCAUGUGGCUUAAUUUGACUCAACGCGGGGAAUCUUACUAGGUCCGGACCGAUUCUAUGAUCGUCGUACUGUGGGGUGCUACGUGAUUACUGGAUGAGUGGUGCAUGGCCGUUCUUAGUUCGUGGUGUCAGUUGUCUACUUAAUUGUCAUUGGUUCUCGUAUCUUACGGUACAGAACUGAUAACGAACGAGAUCGAGGCCCGUGGUUGUGUCGUUGGUUAUUAUUGUGUGCGGCAUUAACCACGGGGAUCGCGUAAUACUCCACGGUACGAUCGAAAGACUCGGCAAUAACAGGUCUGUGAUGCCCUCAGAUGUUCUAGGCUGCACACGUGCUACAUUGUGGUUUCGUUUGUAUGCGUAGAUAUCUAAGAUCCCCCGCAUCGAGUCAUAACUGGUCACACGGUUGGACUCACCGAUUGUAUAAUUAUUCGGUAUACUAA